UUUUUUUUUAAAAAAAAGUUCUGUUUGUCUGCCAUUUAAGGAGGGGAAAAUCUAUCUCUCAAAUAUUGAGAAGACAGAAACAUGAUGUACUUUGUUCAUUCAAAUAAUGAAGGAAAGUGGCUACAAAAAUAGCUGUUCAAAAAAAAAAAAGAUUCUUUGUGGGUGGGGAUGGGAGGGAAAACCUGGGAGAGAGUGACGGAA
Molecule: long non-coding RNA, 201 nt
Organism: Perognathus longimembris pacificus (Pacific pocket mouse)
Lineage: Eukaryota; Metazoa; Chordata; Mammalia; Rodentia; Heteromyidae
Exons: 3
Source: RefSeq, a predicted model, not a curated record